Molecule: ribosomal RNA, 757 nt
Filed under: uncultured archaeon
Lineage: Archaea
Description: bacterial SSU rRNA
Rfam family: Archaeal small subunit ribosomal RNA
Source: RNAcentral
ACGGGGUGCAGCAGGCGCGAAAACUGGCCAAUGCGCGAAAGCGUGAGCCGGCCAAUCCGAGUGGAGACCCAACGGUUUCCUUUUACCAUGUGUUCACAGCUUGGUGAAUAACGAGAGGGCAAGACUGGUGCCAGCCGCCGCGGUAAAACCAGCUCUUGGAGUGGUGAUCAUGAUUAUUUGGCUUAAAGUGUGCGUAGCAGGACAGCGUAAGUCCCCUGUGAAAUGCUAGGUCUUAAGCUUAGCACGUGCAGAGGAUACUGCGCGUCUUGGGACCGGAAUAGGUGUGAUGUACGGUUUGGGUAGGGGUGAAAUCCGAUAACCCAAGCCGGACAACCGGUGGCGAAGGCGUCACACUGGGACGGGUCCGACUGUGAGGCACGAAAGCUAGGGUCGCGAGCCGGAUUAGAUACCCGGGUAGUCCUAUGCCGUAAACGAUGCUCACUAAGUGUUAGGUAAUGCAAGACAUUAUCUAGUGCCGAAGCGAAAGCGUUAAGUGAGCCGCCUGGGAAGUACGUUCGCAAGAAUGAAACUUAAAGGAAUUGGCGGGGGCCUACUACAAGAAGUGGAGCCUGCGGUUUAAUUGGACUCAACUCCGGGAAACUCACCUGGGCCGUAACACGGAUGAUUGUCCUGCUGAAGACACUGCUUGACGUGUUACUGGAGGUGCAUGGCCAUCGUCAGUUCGUGCCGUGAGGUGUCCUGUUAAGUCAGGCAACGAACGAGAUCCCUACCGCUAAUUGCCAGCGAGACCUAUUAG